RNAcentral lists this long non-coding RNA (1676 nucleotides) under Oryzias sinensis (Chinese medaka). RNAcentral's name for it is "lncRNA (ENSOSIG00000012401.1)". The record is from RNAcentral. Lineage: Eukaryota; Metazoa; Chordata; Actinopteri; Beloniformes; Adrianichthyidae.
CCCAGUAGGACUGAAAACCAAAGUAAAGCAAACACCAAAAAUACAAGAAAACUUCUAAAGGAAUUGGUUGUUUUGAUCUAAAUUUUUGAAGUUUUGUAUGAUUUUCUUUUCCUGCAGUGAGAUGUAGAGCUUCAAAGAUCCAGCAGCAGACUUUAUUAAAGUUCCCUGAAGUUCUGCUGUGAAGCGCGCAGUGACUGAGUUGGCUGCAGUAAUCUGGCCGACACAAACAGGAUCUGGAUGGUUAGUGAGAAUGAAAUAAGCUCAUCAAGGAGAACAUGUCAUCCCAAAGCCUGAUUCAAUAACGCCCGUAUUCCGCCUAAUGGGAUCUAAUGGGAAAGUAGCACACUGUGUUUGGGGCCAUUCGGGACAACCCCAUCAAAGAAUCGCUUCCAGCCUUUUGAAAAUAGUUUACUGGGAAAACAAAAAUAUACCUUUAUGCUAGAAUUAGAUCCAUUUUUAUAAACAUUUUGAACUCUCUAAGCCUUUUAUUGCUCUUAAUGUUUAUUAAUUGAGGAUCAUUUUACAGAAAAUGUUUAUUUAGAGAAUAAUAAAGAUUUAGGUGUCUUAAGUGAAUUUAGGGAGACUAUAUUUAUUUGUGAAUUAAUACGUUUUAUCUAAUGGCUGCAAAAAUGAAGGCAAGAAUGCCAUGAAUGACCUUUGAUCUUUUCGUGUGCCGCAGAUUUCCGGCUUCCGAUUCUUCACAAUGUUAAAAAUACAAAAAACAAAAAACGUCCACCACGUGAGCUCCAUCCAAGGGUUUAUGGUGCUGAUUAGAUCAGCUUAAGCCUCUGGAAGUGGUUAAUGGUCUUUCCUGGUGUUGGUAAGUAGCUGCAAGUGGCUGACACCAGCUCUCAGACGCCAGUGGUCCGGCAUGGACCCAAAGCUCCCAAACGAAGCCCGGCUUUAGGAAAAAACCAUCUGCUGGAGAAACAUCUACAUUUCUGAGAAUACUUUGAUCUUGUUUUCACAGCCUGUUCCUACUAGUCAUGCAGCAGCAACAGCAGCAGCAGCAGCAACGUGUCUUUUAUGUCCUGCACACUCCAGCUUCUUUUACAAUGCGAGCUCUGGACACUAAUGGGAAGCAGCUCAGCAUGCAUGCUGUAAGACAAACUCCAGAGAACUCUCCUCCCAAAAAAGUACAGAGACCCUUCAGAUCAACGGUACAAGGAAAAGGGGGUGCUGCUCAUGUCCACAUCGCAUGGGGGAUUUACUUCCACAAACAACUGAAGAAAAUGCAAGAAGAAAACAAAAGCCUUUAUCUCCAACCCUCGCCCAAGUCUCCACACAGAUAUUUACCUGACUCAACGCCAUAUAAGGAGUCACAGCAUCUAUGCAGGGGACACCCUAAUGCAGGUUCUUAUCGCAGCCAAGGAACACCAUCAGAAGAGGUGGAGGACUCGGACUCUGCCGAAGAGAAACUUGAUGAGCCGAUGAAAUACAUUAGAACUGAAAACACUCCAACAACGGAAGUAAACGUGCGAUACUCACUUUACAGCAAGAAGCAGCUGCAGUGGGACAGGUCCAUCCAAGAGGGAAGAGUCAAGCCCCAAACCAAAGACAGUCAUGGUCAUCCUUCUUUAUCUGGAUACCCAAACUCCAUUUUGGUCACCACACCUUCCACGCACCCCCCCCCCAAACAAUCGACUGCAGACAGGUUUCUAUGUGUUCCAUCCUAA